Molecule: non-coding RNA, 6731 nt
Organism: Lactuca sativa (garden lettuce)
Lineage: Eukaryota; Viridiplantae; Streptophyta; Magnoliopsida; Asterales; Asteraceae
Source: RefSeq, a predicted model, not a curated record
UUCUUGAAACCAAUUACAUCAAUAUUUAUCCAAAUAUAUAGAAAGCAAUUUUGAUAAGACCUGUUAGUUUUAUAUUCAAGAAAAAAGAUUGCACUAUUGCAUUGUGUUUUCAGUUUUCCCCUUUGUUAAAGUUAUGCUUCCAGAACUCUUAUUUAUUGCAACAUUUUAAUUUAGUUUAAAAAAGUUUACCCAUUACAUUGAUUAUGUUUUGUGGUAUGUGUUUGUAGAAGCUGUCAUCACAUGUUUUAUUUUUAUUGGAAAGACAGAGAAGAAGUUUUCUUGAAACCGGAUCCUCUCACCCCAAAUAUCAACUUAUACGCCCCAACCCCUCUGAAGCGAACACUUGAAAUAUUCUUUCGUUUGAUCUCAGCAAACCAAAUGUCCAGAAUCUUGAAGCAAAGCAGAGACAUAACGAUUGAUUUUCAUCCACUUUUUUCUUCGAUAUCUCUGCUUUCACCCAAAUCGACGCUUCUCACAGGCGAUGGCCAUAGUGGACAGAGGGUUUGUUUUUUCCAGUCUGAUUCCACUAUCUGUUCCUCAAUUUUACAAGCGUGAGAUCAGGAAGACAGAGAAGAAAUUUUGGUUAUAUUUACUGCUGCUGUUAUUCUUUUUCAGCAAGAUGCCAAGGAGUUGGUUCACGUUAUGAGAUGUUGGCUGAAUUGUCGAGAAGAGAGGGAGAUGCAAACAUAAAACCUGAUCCAGAUAUCGAUGUCUUCAUGAAGGCUGCUGCUACUGAAGGUUAAGAAGGUUGUCAAGUGUGGUCUGUAGCAGGAUUACAGACUUAAUGUAUGUCAAACUAAUGAUGAGGGGUAUCCAUGUCAUUUCAUUGCCACUCUUAUGGAAGGAGUCUUUCUCACUAUUUUGUUGGCCCUCAUGAAUCCAAUUUUGCUCCUGGCAGGGUUUCCGAUGACAAAUAGUUAACUGACUGGUUCUUCCAUGGGUGGUGGUAUGAAGGUUUUGGUGAAAGAAGGGAACAGGGGAGCUAGGGAGCCCUUGCUGACAUUAGAAAAAGAAAAAGGAAAGUCCCAACUGUAUUUAUACUUUAUACUAAUAAAAUUAGCAUUAAUAUAACUAAUGUCUCAAGUAUUAAAUAGGUAUGGCCUGUAAUUGUUUUAUAUCCAGGUUGAAGAGUAGUAGCUUUUAUUUCAAUGGGAAUGCUUAAAGUUGUUGGUUGGUUUAAAAGGGAAAAGAAGAUGAACUCAAGCUGAUGUUGAGGUUUGCAGAGUUGAUUCGGUCUAUUGAGGAAGAAGAGCAACUUCAGGGUGGUUGGAGAAAGAGCCAAAUUUAGGCCAAAGUAUUGUUAUGAUUUUGAAGAAAAGAAAAGUUCCCACACCGAGUGCAUUGUUAUAGAGGGCCACAAGAACCUCUAAUGAGGACCAAAACUGUAAUAUCACCAAAUUUGCAAAAAUCAGCUAUACUGAGCGACCAAAAGAUGCAUCUUUAUCUAAAAUCAAAAGUUGGAAAUAGUAGAAGCUGUACAUAUAUGAUUAUUCAAAUAUCACAUGAUGAGGGGCAUACUUGUAAUUUCAUUGCCACUCUUAUGAAAGGAUGGUACUAACAGCUCAUAUUGAUAGGUAGAAGAUAUACAUCUUGAGGUUGAUCCAUUGUUCUUGAAAAUCAACAUGGAUUUCACACCUCUUGGUUGUCACACCAAGAUCAUGUAAUUACAUGGAAAUAUAAUGGUGGUCUACUUAUCCACCGGCUUCUAGAGGUUUGUGAAGAAUAUAUUUAUACAGGCUAGCGUCUGAAACAGUUUUAUAUAACAGUUCUUCUUCUUGAUUGUUGUAAGACUUUAUAACCUUAAAUUCAUAAUAUGAUGAUGAUGUUGAUGAUAUGGUCAAUUUUUUUUAUUACAGUUUAGGUAAGCUAUACUAUUAUUUAAUAGUAUUCGAGUAAAUUACACGAAUGGUCCCUAUGGUUUAGCGUAAUUUGUGCGUUUGGUCCCUAACUUUUUUUUUAACUCGGAAGGUCCCUACUGUUUGUUUUUGUUACGCGUUUGAUCCCUGUUUUACUUAAAAAUACUAUUUUUCACUUGAUUUUUUUAAUUUAUUUAAAUAAACACACCCCCAACCCCACCUCAUCACCUUACCUUACAUACCCACCAUUUUUCUCUAUUAAAAUAAUAGUAUUUUUAGGUAAGACAUGGACCAACAGUGUAACAAAAACAAACCGUAGGGACCAAGCGGGUAACAAAAUCAAACAUUAGGGACCUUCCGAGUUAAAAAAUAAGUUAGGGACCAAACGUGCAAAUUACCCCAAACCAUAGGGACCAUUCGUGUAAUUUACUCAAAGUAUUCAUUAAAUCCUACUAGCAUGGUUGUUGAAAAUUGAAAUGGAUUUUACACCUGUUAGUUGACACCAAGACCUACUAUUUAUUUACAUAGUAACAAAAUUUUACACCUCUUAGUAGUUGAUUACCCAUCAUAUUACUUCUACACCAUUUGAUUUGUAACGGUAGUAUAUGAAGCCCACCAGGGGUCUUCGAUAGAAAAACGUCAUUUGAAGGAAAACAAUGGUGAAAGUCCAAAGAUUUUGGAAGCAAUCAAGUUAUGAGGUUGACUUUUAAGAACUUUGGGUGAUUACAAUGCAAAUAUGAUACAAAAUUACGUAGUAUGAUGUGGUUAGGUACCUAAGCUUAUAUAAGCUUCAGGGUGGUUGGAGAAAGAGCUAAAUACGACUGUUUGGCCAAUGUAUUGUUAUGAUUUUGAAGAAAAGAAAAAAGUUCCCACACCGAGUGCAUUGUUAUAGAGGGCCAAAAAGCUAUGUUCUAUGUAAUGUCUUUGUAAUGUUUUUUUUCCCUAUCCCAAGAAAAAUGACAAUAGUUUUGGGACCAAAUUUUCUCCAGCAAAGAAAGACAGUAUUUAAAUCAAGUUAAUAAAUAGACUGUCUAAUUAUGGCUUGAAGUUUUGAGAGAAGGCAGAUAGAAUCUAUGGGAGAAUGAGUUAAUUGAAUGAUUCUACCAUGGCUUGGGUUGUAUGAAGGUAGAAGAUAUACAUCUUGAUGUUGAUCCAUUGUUCUUGAAAAUCAACAUGGAUUUCACACAUGUUGGUUGUCACACCAAGAUCAUGUAAUUACAUGGAAAUAUAAUGGUGGUCUUGGUCUACUUAUCCACCGGCUUCUAGAGGUUUAUGAAGAAUAUAUAUAUACAGACUAGCGUCUGAAACACUUUUAUAUAACAGUUCUUCUUAUUGAUCGUUGUAAGACUUUAUAACCUUAAUUUCAUAAUAUGAUGAUGAUGUUGAUGAUAUGGUCAAUUUUUUUUAUUACAGUUUAGGUAAGCUAUACUAUUAUUUAAUAGUAUUCAUUAAAUCCUACUAGCUGAAGAAUGAUGUUUACAGUAUAUAUACUAGCUGAAGAAUGAUGUUUAAAUGGAAAUUUUAAUUAAAAAUUGAGAUAUAAGCAUGGGAACAAGAAGGGUCAAUUGAUAAGGUUUAAUACAUGUUGAGAUACUUAGGAUGAAUUAUAAAUAAAUACUGGAAGCCUGCUAGUGAUGAUGUAAAGAGAACUUGAAUGGAAAAUCUUGAAAGUUCUUUUUAGCAAUUAAUGCAAAGAUUGAUUGAUUGAUGCCAAAAGAAAUGGUAUUGCUGUACUUCAAAUUCAAUCAUAAAUUCAGGAAGUAAGUAAGUCCCAACUCCCAACCAUUGCAUCCCUCUAAAGUCUUAUUCAUUCAAUUUAAAUCUUUAAGCCUUACAUUCAUCAUAUUCUUUCCCAUCUAUAAAUUUAUCGUUUAGUAUUUCACUUUAUUUUAAGUUAUUUCUCUCAGUUUACCUCUAUUUGAUCAUAUCGAGACUGUUUUCAAGCAAAUAUCUUAUAGUUUAGUUUGAAAUCCUAACUAAGUACAUUGCUACUAUUAUUGUUCAUUUAAAAAAUCAUUUGAUUAGCUGAAAACCUGAUAAAAAAUGUAACACAACAAUAUAAUGGAAGCUAAAAAUUUGAUUGAGAACUUUGUUUGUUUAUGUUACAAGGGUUAGUUUGGGGAUAUUAACAUAUAGAGUUAUAGAACAGCCUGAAUGUAGGAUUUUGUAGUAUUUUUUAUGUUGUUAUUUAAUGCAUAAAUUAUUUGCAGGGAGAUAUGAUGACUAUGGCUUUCUAAAAACAUUACUAUUUCCAAGAGAAAAUCAACCAAAGAAGGAUUGAUCUGUUGAUUUGAUUUAUUUGUGUUGCUUUAGUUAUGAGUUUUAAUUGAUUGAUUGAUCAUUGAUCUGGUUUUGCUAUGUAGGUAUGAUGUGGUGUAAACAGCAACAUAAAUUAAAAAUUAGAAUUGAAGUAAGAUAUUAGAUACUACAAAACUGCUUAAUUGAUAUUAUUUAAUCUUUUCUUUUUUUAAAAGUUGUUUAACAUUUACUUUCUAACAGGGAUAGAAGAUAUGCAGGUGUUAUUUUUUGUCCAUUGUACUUUUAUGACGACCCUUUGAAAAUCUAAUCUCUUAUAUCUAUAUCUUUUUCACAUUCAGACAUUUUACUUUUAAUAUUUUUCCUAUUAAGACAUUAUACUUUAAAAAUCUAACUAGUUUUAGCAUUAUACUUUCCUCUGUAUUUUCCUAUUAAUUUGAUUUCAGUUUUGGGAGAGACAUCAUCUGAUUAGGAUGAACUGAAGAGUAUUUUGGCCGGAUUUUAAAACUUGGUAUUUUCUUCAAUUCAAUUGAGUUAUGAUAAUAUUACGAUUAUAAAUUUAGCAAGGUGGAAUCUAGGUUUACCCUGUUUGUUUACUCAUUUUAACAACUCAUAAUCAGCCACAGUUAUGUAUUCCUACCUUUUUAAUUAUUAUCAUCAUCUUUCAAAUCCUUUUUUGAUGGAAUAAUUAAUUGGAGCAGUUGAGAGAACCUACAAAUCUGGAAAAAAGCAAAAUGACUUUCCAUAUCCAAUGCCAUUGCCAAGGUAUGCUAUUCAAGGGACGGUGUACAUCACAAUGAGAGGCGAGAUUCCAUCUUUUUAUAUUAGCAUUUGAAGUCUCAAGCAUCUUCAUCUUGGAGAAAUUUACGUCAUUUUAAGUUAUGCUUUUCUCAUAAUAUUGUUCAUUGAGCGGAAUUUACUUCUACAUUGAUAAAAAUUUUAAAAAAUACCAAAUUCAUAUAAGAUUUUCAAGAUUUAUCAUGUUGGCUUUGAAAUUACACUUCAUAUAAGAUUUACUCUUUAUUUUAUUCUGUCUUCCUUUCCCUUAUUAAUCAGGAGGACAUAUGGGAACCAACUUUUGUUUAUUGUUUGUCUUGGCUACACAUAUACAAAAUAUGAUCUUUUUUAUUACAAUUUAGGUUUGGUAAAUUAUUUACUAAUUUAAUCCUACUAACUGAAGAAUGAUGCUUAUGGUAUAUAUAUGUAUUUCUUAUAUGCAUCAUAUAGCUUUAUAAUGUUGUAUGAAACUACAAAUCUACCAUGUGUUUUCUAAAACUUCUAAAGAAAAUCACUUUGGUCUAUGAGUUUAAAAGAUGUACUAUUUCUUCUACUCAAUUCUUUUUUUUUUUUUUUUUUUAUGAUUUCUACUUUGGAAUGGAAAUUUGAAUUGAGAAUUGAGAUAUAUUGAUGGAGUGAGAUUAGCAUGUGAUAGAGGUUGCAGAUAUCUAAAGAUGUCUUUAGUGAUGGGAAUCUUGCAUUAAGUUAAAUUUUCUAAUCAUCAAUUAAACUUCUUGUGCAGAUAAUAAACAGAGUGUCUAAUUAUGGGUUGAAGUUUUUGAUUGAAAUAGGGCUUCCAACAUCUUGUCUUCACUUAACCUUGGGAUUGAUUUGUGUGGAUAGGGUGUUAACUAUUAUUAUGAUUUGGAGAUUGUUUUUAUUAUAAACAUAUAUAGAGGAGACAUUCCCCUUUUAAUAUUUUGAUUUUAAAUUUGCAGGGGUUCCCAUGGGUGGUGGUAUGAAGGUAAUUCUUGUUGUUAUGUAUUUCUACCUUUUUUCAGUUAUUAUCAUCAUCAUACAGACAUUUUACUUUUAAAAUAUCAAACUUGUUUGACUUUGAUUACCGGUUAUAUCAUUAUACUUGCACUGUUAUCCUAUUAAGAACCAUAUAUACUUUGAAAUCUAAGCAUUUAUACUUUGAUAUUUUUUAAUCUUUAGACAUUAUAAAACAUAACAUUUAUCAAAUGUUAUUUCGUUGUACUUAUGGUUACUUCAAAAGAACAGUCUUGGUGGUAUGAUGAAUGUGGAGGCACACUGCCACGAGAGCAUCAAGUUUUCUAGGGAUUUGUUGAUUCUUCAUAGGAUAAAGAGAAGAAGCAGCAAGUAGAAUAUAACUAUUUCAACCAGUCUUUGAAAAGGCAGUGUACACAACAAAUAAUUAUUGGGCUUAGUAUCCAUACUUGUCCUAUAGAAAUGAGGGAAAAACUUGCAAUUCCUUAGGCAGAAUAAUCAGAGAGCAUUGAACCACACACGAGAAGCUGAUGUUCUGUGUAUGCUUUUUCUCUAGGAAAGCAAAGACACAGCACAACAAAGAAAAAAAAAAGGUAUUUUUUCCAGUUUAGUUUAUUAUGGCAAGUUUUUUCAUGUAAAUGUCGGGUCAUCAAAUUUAUGUGUUUUUAAUGGUUGUGAUGAUAUGAGUAGAGAUGAAGGUAGGGCCUAAGAUUGAUCAGUACUCAAACCUUGCGACUUUGAAAGCAAAGGUCCAAUUUAUCACUCGUCUUGCAGUUUCCUUGUUUAAUUGUUGGAUUCAUAACAAAGAUAGUGUAUGUUGAAUGAAAUCUAUGUUGAAUGGUUGACCUAUGGUUCUUGAAAAUCGAAAUGGAUUUCACACUUGUUGGUUGA